CGGGAUCCUCGGGCUUUGCCUGGUGGUGAGAGUGGCGAACGGGUGAGUAAUGCGUGACCGACCUGCCCCAUGCACCGGAAUAGCUCCUGGAAACGGGUGGUAAUGCCGGAUGCUCCAUCACACCGCAUGGUGUGUUGGGAAAGCCUUUGCGGCAUGGGAUGGGGUCGCGUCCUAUCAGCUUGAUGGCGGGGUAACGGCCCACCAUGGCUUCGACGGGUAGCCGGCCUGAGAGGGCGACCGGCCACAUUGGGACUGAGAUACGGCCCAGACUCCUACGGGAGGCAGCAGUGGGGAAUAUUGCACAAUGGGCGCAAGCCUGAUGCAGCGACGCCGCGUGAGGGAUGGAGGCCUUCGGGUUGUAAACCUCUUUUGUUAGGGAGCAAGGCACUUUGUGUUGAGUGUACCUUUCGAAUAAGCACCGGCUAACUACGUGCCAGCAGCCGCGGUAAUACGUAGGGUGCAAGCGUUAUCCGGAAUUAUUGGGCGUAAAGGGCUCGUAGGCGGUUCGUCGCGUCCGGUGUGAAAGUCCAUCGCUUAACGGUGGAUCCGCGCCGGGUACGGGCGGGCUUGAGUGCGGUAGGGGAGACUGGAAUUCCCGGUGUAACGGUGGAAUGUGUAGAUAUCGGGAAGAACACCAAUGGCGAAGGCAGGUCUCUGGGCCGUUACUGACGCUGAGGAGCGAAAGCGUGGGGAGCGAACAGGAUUAGAUACCCUGGUAGUCCACGCCGUAAACGGUGGAUGCUGGAUGUGGGGCCCGUUCCACGGGUUCCGUGUCGGAGCUAACGCGUUAAGCAUCCCGCCUGGGGAGUACGGCCGCAAGGCUAAAACUCAAAGAAAUGACGGGGGCCCGCACAAGCGGCGGAGCAUGCGGAUUAAUU
This 878-nucleotide ribosomal RNA is filed under the name Bifidobacterium sp. HGAT8. Its description in RNAcentral is "bacterial SSU rRNA". It matches the Rfam family "Bacterial small subunit ribosomal RNA", at positions 67 to 951 of the family's 1533-position model. The record is from RNAcentral. Lineage: Bacteria; Bacillati; Actinomycetota; Actinomycetes; Bifidobacteriales; Bifidobacteriaceae.